RNAcentral lists this unclassified non-coding RNA (224 nucleotides) under rhizosphere metagenome. RNAcentral's name for it is "partial ribosomal RNA internal transcribed spacer region". The record is from RNAcentral.
GUUGGUGAACCAGCGGAGGGAUCAUUAGCGAGUUAUAAACUCCCAACCCUCGUGGACAUACCUAUUGUUGCUUCGGCGGCGCGCCGGCAUUCGCUGGCGCCGCCCUCCCUGCUUGCGGGGCUGGCACCCGCCGAAGGCACGCAACCAAAACCUGGCUUCAGCGUCGAAUUCUGAGUGGACUACUAAAUAAGUCAAAACUUUCAGCAACGGAUCUCUUGGUUCUG